This 550-nucleotide ribosomal RNA is filed under the name uncultured marine bacterium. RNAcentral's name for it is "bacterial SSU rRNA". It matches the Rfam family "Bacterial small subunit ribosomal RNA", at positions 355 to 896 of the family's 1533-position model. The record is from RNAcentral.
UGGGGAAUAUCGGACAAUGGGCGCAAGCCUGAUCCAGCCAUGCCGCGUGUGUGAAGAAGGCCUUUUGGUUGUAAAGCACUUUAAGCGAGGAGGAGGCUACUUGGAUUAAUACUCUAGGAUAGUGGACGUUACUCGCAGAAUAAGCACCGGCUAACUCUGUGCCAGCAGCCGCGGUAAUACAGAGGGUGCGAGCGUUAAUCGGAUUUACUGGGCGUAAAGCGUGAGUAGGCGGCUUUUUAAGUCGGAUGUGAAAUCCCUGAGCUUAACUUAGGAAUUGCAUUCGAUACUGGGAAGCUAGAGUAUGGGAGAGGAUGGUAGAAUUCCAGGUGUAGCGGUGAAAUGCGUAGAGAUCUGGAGGAAUACCAAUGGCGAAGGCAGCCAUCUGGCCUAAUACUGACGCUGAGGUACGAAAGCAUGGGGAGCAAACAGGAUUAGAUACCCUGGUAGUCCAUGCCGUAAACGAUGUCUACUAGCCGUUGGGGCCUUUGAGGCUUUAGUGGCGCACGUAACGCGAUAAGUAGACCGCCUGGGGAGUACGGUCGCAAGACUA